Molecule: long non-coding RNA, 1101 nt
Organism: Gigantopelta aegis
Lineage: Eukaryota; Metazoa; Mollusca; Gastropoda; Neomphalida; Peltospiridae
Exons: 2
Source: RefSeq, a predicted model, not a curated record
GUUACUGAAUUACCGUACUGCAUCAGCUGUCUUUUGGAAUUACAGAUUACAUGACAGGUUGAUUUGUCUGUUACGGCAGGUGUUUAACAUAUCUACCUAACCUGAGUUUAUCCUGUUUUAAAACAUAAUGCACAAUCUGGGUAUUACUAGUACUGUAGUGGUAUUGGGUGUCUUCGGGCAUCAAAAUGAGUCACAGUCGUUCAGGUUACAUGUCACGAGUGGGGCUUCAUUCUCAACAAAAUAUUAAACAAAGAGAAGUAUACAUGCAGUCCGUACAAUGUAGUUUGUUAAAUUGCAGUAUAUAUUACACAAACAUCUAGACGAACAUAUACGAAUACGAGAUAUACCUAAUUAUUUAUCUAAUUUUUUUUUUUUUUAAAUUUCUUGGCUUUAUUGCUAUAUACCUCUGCGUGUGCUGUAACCUCACCGUGGUGCAGGGGUGUAACAUUCUCUUUGAGAAUGGCCAAUACAGCACAAAUUAAAAUUUUGAGUAAAGGAAUGCCAGACAACUCGGCCCGGAGGACAACUCGGCCCAGACAACUCCGCCCAGAGUUCUGAGACAACCCGGCCCACCGCGAGACAAUUCAGCCCGGAGUCCAGAGACAACUUGUUGGACAAGUGUUGUUUUAAAUUAAAGUAUUCUCACUGAAAUCAAAGAAUGUGUUUUUGUUAGUAUUGAAUUAGUCCAACCUUAACCUAAACGUCCCGAAAUGAUUUUGAGACAGGUAUUUAUAUUUUAGGGGAUUAAACAUUUAAAAUACAUUUCUUGAAUUUGUAACAGACUUUGAGACACGUGACUAUGCGAAUAUGUGGAUCUUUAAACUUAUGUUUAUAUUUGUUAUGCCGGUUUGUCUCGGAGAGGAAGAUGCGACGGCGACAGAGGAAGGCCUUCAGGAAUCUACAGGGGAAAAUUUUCGAACUGUGGGGACGCUACACAGAUGGUGACGUGUCCACUUCUAGAUUCCUGUCGGCCUUAUUUCUAUGUUCUUUUGGUGAUUGGUGUUUUAUUUCAUUAUUAUAACUAUUUAUGUAUAUGUGUUCUGUUGGUUUUUAACGUAUAUAUAUGUGUGUUUAAUGUAAUAAAUGUGAGAAUUUGGCAAA